This 1171-nucleotide long non-coding RNA is filed under the name Carica papaya (papaya). RNAcentral describes it as "long non-coding RNA (CPAP_LNC006677)". Lineage: Eukaryota; Viridiplantae; Streptophyta; Magnoliopsida; Brassicales; Caricaceae. The record is from RNAcentral.
GAGUGAAAGCACCCGCCAAUUGGCCGAAAAACGCCGCCGAAGCUCAGCGGUGCCGCCGCGGGGUGUUUCAGUUUUUGCCUCCGACGAGGCCCUUUUCGAUUCCCAUUCGAUGUGAUUUUUCCACUGUUGUGGUCACCGUUUCCUCCUCUACAGGUUGACCGGAGCAAAACACCCAACCGUAACAUGAGCCGGAGGAGACGCCGCACUAGAGAGUUCCACUGCCGGUGAGUUUCAGUUUUCUACAUUUUUUCAGCCCACCGAGGGCCCUAAGUGUGUUUUCUCACGGGAAUCGAUGCAAGUUUGGCUGAAUUUGGUCGAAAAUAGCCAAUUCGAGGCGGAUCACCGACGCGAACAGCAGCACUGUCACUGGAGCACGACGAAGCCACCGUGCUGAAAUUCUAAAAUUGGCCGAGUAGGCCCUGGGUAUGAUUUUUUAGGUUAUUUGGGACAUGUGUAGGUACCGUAAGCGCAUUUCAGUUUCUGAGAAAAAAAUUCAGAGAACUCAGGGACCGCCCGUAGGUGAAGUGACAAUCCAAUUUUCAGCGUUGAAUCAAGUAAGGACCCCUCACCCUAUUUUCUAUCAUAGAUGUGAAGUUUGAAUAAAUUAAAUAGAUAUGCAUAAUUAAUUAUGAUUGCUAAGGGAGCCCGAACCAGACAUUAUUCUCUGUCAACUCCUGUUUGAUUUAUUUUAUAGUUUAAAUGCAUUAUGGUAUCCGGCUUAUCUAUUCUAUGAUUUUAAGUGCAUGUAUCACUUACUUCACUACUGUUGAUUUGGUGACGAAGAUUGAGGAAAAAUAGGAAGGGAUGUGAUCUGAUAAAUGGAUAAGGUAACAGCCUCACUAGAUAUCCUGGGAGAUGGUGGACGGACCGGGUUCAUAGGAAACCCUACCGUGAACGUCGUCUCAUACCGAACGGGGUAUGGAGACUUGGUCAUUUAGCGCUCAUACCGGACAGGGUAUGGGGAUGGCCCGCUUCAACCUCAUACUGGAUGGGGUAUUGAGGUUUAAUGUCUUGGCGCUCAUACCGGACGGGGUAUGGGGAUGGCCCUGGAAUUAAGACUGUUGAGAAGAAGGGUUCACGUGUAGCAGGGACACUCCUAUGGAUCCCCAAGAAUAUUAUUGGGCUGGUGAAAAUGAGAAACAGUGAUAAUCAGUUAUUGUUAAUGAAUACG